Haemorhous mexicanus (house finch) is the source of this 9661-nucleotide long non-coding RNA. RefSeq lists it as uncharacterized. Lineage: Eukaryota; Metazoa; Chordata; Aves; Passeriformes; Fringillidae. The transcript is spliced from 6 exons. The record is from RefSeq and is a predicted model, not a curated record.
CUUUUUAGUUCUUCCAGUUUGAAAUACCAGUUUUGCUCCACCCAUAACAUAGUGCCUUGUGAGCACAGCUCCAACAGUGACAUAUGUACACCUCUGUUCUGAAAAAGGCUCUUCCUGAAGGGAAAGGCUUUGAGGAUGCAGCCAGAAGCUGUAAGAAAGGAAAUCUCGUCAGGUGACAGGGCUCAGUGUUUCAUGAGUCUCAGAAGGGUCAUUGGAACCAGCAGAGUUCAGAUGGACUCAACCAGGCUCAGCCAAGGGUCUCCUUCUGAGCCCAAGGAGCAGGAGCUGCCACCUUGCACUGCAUGCCCUAAGACUGACCUUCCUUUGCAGAGCCAAACAUUUCUCCUGAGCACUUGGGAAAGCUGGGUCAUGCUUCCUCUCACUGAGGCACAAUCUCAUUUUUUGGAGGCUGAGGUGGAACCAGAGGCACUGGGGUGAGUAGAGCAUUGCUUGCGGAGGUCAGAGCCCACCCCUCUGUGCUCAUCAGGGGCAGAUCCCUCAUGGGCUCCUGCUGUGCAUCUCCCAAAGGGUUUUGUCACCUUGCUCCUGAAAGGAAGAACCACAUGGUGACAACCGUAAGGAAUGGAAAGUUGCGCCUCAGUUCUGUACUUCAAGUGGGAAGAUAGAGAGAUGGACAGCAGGCAAUACACAGCUUCUUUCCCUUUUGCCCAGGAAGAGUAAAGAAAAGGGAAAAUCCACAGCUCCUUCUUUAGCAGCUGGAUGCCUUUGAUGCAUGCUCACCCUCCUGAAGGUUGUUCCUCUGGCAGGAAGCACAGGCACUGCCUCCAAUAGGCUGCCUGCAACUUAUCCCCCAGGAAGGGGCAAGUGUGUGAAAGGGAGACCAGGGAAGAGAGACUGAAGGAUGCAGAAGGCACAGAGGCCCCAGGAAGAACAGACAGGUGUGAUCAGGAUCGUGUCCCUGCUGUCACUUUGGAUAAGGACUAUCUAUUUCAAGUGGUUUUCUGCGAAGUCAACAGGGCUGAGUUUCUCUGAGAGGUCAUAAGAAUUAUCUGGAACUUCCAAGUGUGUCUAUUCAAACCUGCAUCCUCUAUCACAGCAUGGCCAGCUUUGUUACUUCAAGAUCCCAUCAGGUUUUCAGUGGAAAAGGAGUGGAGUAUCCACACAUUUGUUACCAGUUUCCAAUAAUUCCCCUGUGUUAAAUCUAGUGCACCCCCAGGCAGACACAGCUGCCAUCUCCAAAAGAGAACACCCCACUCAGCCCAAGGAGAUGAAAAGAAGAUCUUGUUGUUGUUAUUAUAUCCCAAGCAGAAGCUGACUCUGCAGCUUUCUCAGCUUGCCCUCUUCCAGUGAAGGCUCCUGAGUGCUGGUGGAAAGCCCCAUCUGAUCUGAGGACCAGAACCACUCUGUGCACGUGGCCCAGUGGGCACCAAGAGGUACAGCCCAGAAGGAGAACAGCUGGGGUUCUAGAGAUCCCCAUCUCCAGCUCAGGUGCUCCCUCAGCGGCUGAUCCCAUCCACCUGGAGUGACUGCUGUCCCUUUUUCCAGACAUGCUUGGCCAGCAGCUCUCACACACUGUCCUCUUCAGUGAUGCUUUGCUCCAGAGUUGGUGUACAACUCUGUGAGCACAAAGCCUGGCACGGAGGAGGCACCAUGGAGCUGGCUCCUUGGGGGCUCUCUCUGUGCUUUUCCAGUUUCUCCAUGAAGCCACCAUCAAGGACCCUUUGCUCUUGUGCUCUUCCAUCCCUUUGGGACUUCUGAAAGUCAGCUGCUCUUUUAAUUUAGACCUCAGCCCAGUAGGCCAGAAAUAAGCAAUAUUUCGAUUUCCAUAAAAGGCUCCUCCUCAGUAUAAGGGUAAUAAUAAUAAUAAUAAUAAUAAUAAUAAUAAUAAUAAUAAAACCAAACAAAACAAAAACCAGAAUUCGAAAACAAAAAUCCACAUUUGUUGCUGAUUCUGGGGUAAGGGUUUGAAGCCUAUUUCCUUAGGUCCUACAGAUAUUUGACAGUACUGAUUUAGACUUCUGGUCCACUUCACCCUGUUGGUAUAUAGUAAAUGGUGAGAUCUGACUACGUUUUCAGAUCUUUUAUUAUACCAAGUAGGGGUGUAAGUAAUUGAUCCUGUAAUUUGUCUGUGGGGCAGAGGAAGCAAGCUGCACAAAAAGAUUUCUUUCUCUUUUAUAUUUUCCAUUGGAUUUAUAUUUUCCAUUGUGUUUAAUAGAAAAUAUUAGAAACCAUACUAUACUCAGGAGAAAAUCCUUCCUGUGUUAUCUCCUUCUUUGGGGUGAGCAAACCUCUGACAGAUCUGUUUCAAGCAGAGCAUUGAGGUACUACUCUGGAAUUUGAUUUCUAUCUUCCUGAGAUCAGCUUUCUAAGAAGUCAAACGUGUGCCUCCGAUUUACUAAAGAGCAAUGCAAGUGAUGGAGAAGAUCCAAAGACAGCCAACAGCAUUAGGAAGACUUCCCUCAAACUGGUUGGGGUCUGGAUCAGACCCAAAGACAGUUGGUCUGAAGAAAAAGAAAAGAAGAGCAGAAUUUGAGUAUUCCUUAAAGUGUCAGAGACAUAAGCAGGGCUGCAUGUAAUAGAAAUAAGGAAAGGCUGACUGAUAGAGAUAGUGCAGUGGUUUCCUUACAAGCUUUUCUUUGUUCCUAUGAUUUAGAACAAGCCAAUUUCUGUCAGAUUAGCCAAGGACCCAUUUUCCUGUCAGGAGAAGCCAUGGUGAGCAUCAGUAAAGGCUGAAUAGACCACAGUGCAGAAGAACCCUGCUGGCUUGAGACCAUGCAUCUUAUGCUUAUGGGACUCCAUUUCAACAGGACACGAAGAUACAUCAAUGUGGUGCAAACAGGCAGGACCAAGGUCCACCUUCUGCUCUUCAAGCCAGGCACAUUUCUUAGCUUAGUGCCUUAGCCAAAGACAUGCCAGCUCCUCUGGAGAUAAACCAUCAUGUCGUGUAGACAAGCAGAGUGCUGUUGAUCUCUUGGCUGACCAAUCAGACUACUUCCUAUGGUGAUACAACUGUAAGCCAGACUGUGAGCCACCAACAGCUGAUAUAUGAAGGACCUGGGCAUUUGUUGAGCUGGAGCAGAAAAAUCCAUCUUUUGGCAGUGGAGAGAAGGUAUUUCCUAUUUAAUGUGGUGAUUAUUAAAAUGCAAAACUUAGGUUCCAAUACAACUACUAUGGUUUCAAUGGAUAACUCCUAAUAUUUCAAAACUGGUAAGUCUGAGCUAAAGAUGUAUAUCUUGUUUUGGAACAUGAAAGAAGAGUACAAGUCUGAGAGUGCAUGUUGCUGUAUUUUGGGGUAAUCAUGCCAAAUAACUGCAUUGACUAAAGCAAUGUAUAUAUGGAUAUAUAUAAUUAUUUAUAUCAAUAUAAGUCCAAAACUAGGCCACUUAUUGCUCUGGUCUGUGCAAACUUUACACAUACCUUUCACCUAAAAGAACUCUAGCUACAUCUCACAAGAUGACAACUCCAUCUAAGGACCCCAUCAUCAUGGAACCAGUCAGCUGCAUGCAUUAUCACAAUAGUCCCUUGAAAUCAAGCUCACUCCUUGGAGAGACCUGGCUUCCAGCUACUGGCAGAGAGGCCAAAGUCCUGACUGCUGAAUGCAUGCAAGACCAAAGACCAGUCCCUGCUAAAUGAAACUUGAAAGAGUAGUAUUAAAGUUAGCUCAAGCUACAGAGAACUGCACUUCAGUUCACCUAGAUCUGCAGACAGGAUUAUUUUAUCAUCAACAAGAGCACCUUUAGAAUUUAGGUGAUGACCAAAUGUCUGCAUGAACUAAUGUCCUUUCCAGCCCAUAUUUUGUUCUCUUUAACUAAUUUGCACUGGUAUCAACACACACAAGGAUCUUCUGUUCUAUGCAUAUUGACAUCCACAGUGCUUUAAGCCAUUUGUCUGGUGUCAAACACAUUAUUUCCCCAUGCUGAAGAAGUGAAAAACAAAAGAGUAAACAGGCUUGUGGAGAGAUAUCUUCCAGUCUGGAGACUGUCUACCUACAGAAAGGGCCAGAAGGAAGAUCCAGGAAACUGCAGACCAGUAAACCUUGUUUCACUCCCUAAGAGAACUAUGGAACAGGUCCUUAAAAAAGCUAUUUCCACGCAAACACAUUUCAAAAACCUGAAUGUGAAAAGCCAACAUGGACAAACUGAAGGGUCAAUCCUGUUUGACCAAAAAUCAUGCUCAGUGGAUGAAAGGAAAGUAGUAGAUAUCACCAUCAACUUGAUUUUCACAAAGUGUUUGACACAGCCUCCCUCAAAAUCCUUUUUGACAAGUCAGUAAGAUACUGUCUGGGCAGAUGAAACGCAAAAUGGCUGAGGAACUGACUAAACUGUUGAGUUCAGAGCCUCAAAAGUUAAAAGGCUCAAAGUCAUGCUGGCAGCUGGGCACAAAUUAAUUUCUUCUGAAGUCAAUGCAAUUCAGCUUUAUAAGUGGUCUGGAAGGUAGGCCUGAAUGCACUGUCACCAAAUUUGAGGAUGAGCCUAAGUUGGGUGAAGAGGUAGCAGUGUUAGAAGAAAAAAAUCACCAUAUAGAGACCUCAACGAGCUGUUGAGAUUUGGCCAACAAGAAUGAAGUUUAAUAUGAGGUUCAGCAGAGAUAAAUGUCAAGUCCUGAACCUGGGAUGGAAUAAUCCCAAGCAGGAGCACCAGCUGGGCACUGGCUGGCUGGACAGUUGCUCUGCUGAAAAGGCACAGGGUGUCUUGGCAGGCAGCAAGAGGAACAUGAGCCAGCCAAGUAUCCUGGCAGCAAUGAUCGCCAACAGCAUCCUGGACUGAGUUUGUGAGAGUGUUGGUAAAUGAAGAGAUGUGAUCUUUCUACUCAGCUCAGCACCUGUUAGGCCAUACCUGGAACACACUGUUCAGUUUCUUUCUUCACAGUUCAAGAGACAUUGAAAGCCUGGAGAUGGUCCAGAGGGGACCAAAAAGAUUAGGGGACUGGAGAACUUUACAAAAAAAUGAACUUCGCUUGCUCAGACUUCAGCAGGGAAGGUUUAGUGUGGGGAAACCAAAUAAUUGCCUUCCAAUACCUAAAAAGCAAUUCUGGAGGAGACUCAUCUCUUCACAAGGAUGCACUAUGAUAGGAGAAAAAGCAAUGGGCAAAACUGGUUUCUAGGGAAGUUCUAGGGAAGCUCCACGUGAGUAUCAAAAAACUUUUUUCUGUGAGAGCAACAUGAGGAUCAGUUGCUUGAAGAGAGUGGAAUCUUUCUCACUAGAAAUAAUAAAGAUGUAAAUUGAUUUGGCCUCAACUAACCUAAUCUAAGACCCUGUUUUUAAUGAAAAGUUGGAUCAGAUGGUGGCAGGAGGUCCCUUCUAACUUAGUCUUGUCUCUGUUUCUGUGAUUCCUUCCCAUAUCUUCUCAACAGAUACUUUGCUAUUCAUUUAUGUCAGGGGAAAAAAGUGUUCUGAGCUUUUCAAUUUGGAAAAGAGAACAGUUAGGAUCCAACAGUAAUUUCUUUGCAUGGAUGACCAACAUACAAAGAUCUUUAAGAUCUCUAACUAAUUCAAACAGCAGCUCCAGCUCUCACACACCCAGACUUUUAAUGCCCUGGGUUGCACCCUAACCUCGACACCUGGCAGACACUCUCUCUGCCAGGUGUCUGCCCAGUCUAACCUUGCCCAGAGGGGCUGUGAGUCUCAUGCUUCUUGCUGGCCAUGCCUCCCCAACCACGGUUUUGUUUUAUGCUCCACAUCAUGCCAGCCUGAAGCAUGAGCCCUGCCCUCCACCUCAUGGGCAUGGUCAGGCAUGCAUGGCCCAGCCUCUUAUUGGGAGCAGCAACCUCUCACAAAAGAGGGAAAUAAGAAACUGCUACCAGUAAAGGCAAAACUGGCUGCAACCAAAGAUCUCACCUAACAGAAACACCUGUCAUGCCUUGAGCCAUGAGCCCGAGAGAUGAACAGAACCUCACAGAUACCCUACUCCAGGGUCAGCAGCCAAAGGGUUAACUGUGGUAGCAAUAACAAGGCAAAUGAUUGAGCUGUCUAACUUUUUGGCCAGCCACCUUUGAACUCACCAUCCCACCCACUGCCUCCCUGCUAGGAUCCAUACCAAGAUGAAUGUGAUAAGGAGGAUGGGUUUAUCAGACACGCCAGCAUUUCAUUGUCUUGCAUGUGGCAGACAAGCAAGGCAGCAAGUAGGCUGGCAGUGAGCUGGAGCCAUGCCAGGGGCAUGUGGGCGGGGAAGUGUUGGGGCCACCAAGUGCUGUCACACACCCCUGGGAUGGCUUCCACCAGUGUGAAACUGUCUCCAUCACGGAAGCCACACCUGAAAUACCUUUCCAAAAUUGUUUCUGAUAAGCAGCAAUUCCUACCCCGAGGAGCUGGAGGCAUGUCUAACCCCAAACUCCUCCCCUUCAUGGCCCCAGUCACUAGCUUCCUGUAAAUGAGGGCGAUACAGGCACCUCCAUUGCUAUUAAGUACAAUGAGGUGUCUGAGACAAUGGGAACCCACUCGGUGCAGCAGUACUUUGAGGUACUUGGGAUGAUGCCCAGCUGUGUUUUACUUGGCCCAUCCACAGGCUUCCAGGAGACCCUGCAUCACUGCUCCCUGUCCCAGCAACAUGCCAGGGCAGCCACACAAGCUGAGGAGGAAAACAGGAACAUUAGCAGCAGGGCAGGCAGCAGCCAAGCAGCCACCAUGGAGCCACCUGGAAACUGGAAAACAGGCAGAGUAGGCACCUAUUUUAAUGAAAAUUAUCUGCAAUUAGAUAUUAACUGAUUCAGACCAUGCACAGGAAGACAACAUAGGCUUGAAAAACAGGUAUGAAGCACAACUUCACAAAGGCAGGAAACUGAUGUAUACUCAUACCAAUUUCCUACAUAAAAAUAUCCAGGAAUUCACUGUCUGUCCAUCCUCCCUCUGCUGAAUACAUUGACUGGAAGGAACCAAACAUGUCAGAGAACUGACAUGCAUGGUAAGCUAGGAUGGUAAGCUUUCAAUGCAUUUUGUGAAAACAGCUGAGCAGAGGAGAAAUCUCAAAGCUGACAGCCCAGCCUGGGGUGAGUUCAUGUGCUAUUGGAGAUCAGAGGCUCUGUAUGGGGACCAGCUGUGGUCCCACAUCUACGAGUACAGGGAAGGCACAGAUAAUCUCUGUGCCUUGUGAAAUGGUGGUGGGAAGGUGUCUGGCCAGGUGUCUUUGCAGGCGAUUGACUCAAGUGGAAGAUGGGACAUGGGCCUCCCAUGUCAAAGAAGUUGUCAGUGCUGGCCUCUGCAAGCUCUUGUGCUUGGAAAAAACAUGGAAAACAUAGAUACACCCAAAUAAACUGAAGUUUGGUUAAAAAAGUGUUAAAAUUUCCUCCUUACACUGACCUACAUUCCCAGUGGGCACCAGUUUUCAUCCACUGGUUUCUCAGCUCCUGAACACUUCCAGUAUCUCAAAGGUUUUCCCAUGUUUUGUAAAAUCAGGAGUCUGCAGCACAAACAUGAGCAAAGAGAAAUGUGGGAUGGCCAGAAUGCUCAGUGUUCAGGCAGGGCUCAGGCAAGGCUGGCAGAGGUGGCCAGCACAGAGCUGGCCAGGAGCAGCAGGGAUGUCCUUGGGUAACCUGAGUAGGGGGCAGCCCCAGCUCCUGCCUCCUCCCUUCCCUGAACAAAAGCAGCUGUAGCUGCUGAACCACCUGGGUUUGCAGUAGAAGAAUUCUGAGGUAAGUUGCUAUGGAUCUGAGGCUCUCCUAAAACAGAGAGCAGAGAAUGAUUUGAGAAUGGCUUAAUGCCCUUGGGUGUGGACACCCACAAUUCAGCUCUAUGGUACAUCCAGACAUUUUAGAGUCUUCACUUCAAAUUUUCCAGAGCUCUUUUGAGUGACCAUUCAUCACCUGCUAACAGGUUAUGCUUGAUCUUUAUUGAAAUCUCAUCCUGAUAUACACAAAUCACACAAAAAAGGACACCACCCCAGGAGGACCCAGUGUGGAUCGACAGGUGUGACAGCAAGCAUGACAAACAAUGCAGUCCUGGCUGUAAAGAAAAUGUAGUGGGCAAUGCAGCCAUGUUCAUGUCCCCUAGCUGGUUCAAGGUUCAACCACAGAACCCAAAGCAUGAAGGAGUCACAAAAUAAUGAAGACAAAUUGUGUGCUGGUAUGGGAAUAGCAAGAAAUGUUGGGGAAUCUACCUCUUACUCAAGCAAAUCUUCCUGUGUCUUGUCAUAGGAAAUUAUUUAAAAUAUUUCACCUAUGAUAAAAGGGAGGUAUUCUAAUUGAAGGUUAAAAAUGGGAAUUCCUAUGGCUGAAAGAAGGAACAUCCAUCACAAGGAGAUGCCACCUGCAUACUGAGAGAAAUAACUGUUUCACUAGAGCUGAGUCUACUCAGAAAGUGCUGUAUUCUAAAGCUUUUCUUGGACUUGGGAUGUUGUCUUCUUAACUUAGCAGACCCUGAGGUCCUUAUCAGUGCUGGAAGUUCAGAUGACUUGGCAAUCUUCCUGAACAUUUUCUUUAAAAUGAAUAAACCUGACAAGCACAAUAUGAGUAACAAACUGACUUCCAGGAAUAAGAGAAUGGUUCAAAGAAUGCAAGCCUGGAGCCCGACGGAAAAAGAGCAUAUCUUACAGCAGAGCCUUCCCAUCCCCACCCGCAUUUUUUCAGUCAAUUUUUGUACCCCCUGCACUUUUGUUACCAGGCAGUUGGGAUGUCUCCGUGCAGCAAGACUCAUUCCAACUGGCAGCUCUGGAUCAAAGAGCACUGGAAGCAUUAAUCAGUGUGCCUAAUCAUUUCCAAUCACAAGAAACUUUUCUCUGUGACCUGGCAUAUAAACACCAAGUCAUUUCACUCACUGGUUGACGCACCAGAAACCAAACAAUGCUUAUCAUGCCUAAUUCAUCUUACUCCUACGGGUUAGAGAUGGAUCAGCCUGCAAUCGUCCAGCAGCAGUGGCAAACUUUAGGUGCUUUACUUAAUCAAACUGAUUACAACCUGUCUGUAGUGCCUUUUAUCUGUUGGUGGCAAAGUAGUUUAGCAGCAUUAAGUGCACCUAAUUUUGCGAUAGCAAAGCAAGACAUGGUGACUAUAUUUAAAAGCACCUCCAGUGAUGUGGGGGAGCUCUUGUUUUAAGGGGGUGGGGAGGUUCAAGGCAGCAAGUUUUGCUGAUGCAUGAAAACCGCUUUGAAAAUUAAAGGAGCGAAUGGCGGAGUCAGGGAGGGAGCCCAGGAAUUCUGAUUGCCAGAUAUCUGUGCUGCCCACAGUACCAUAUGGUUUGUUGCAAAAGGAAGAGAAUAAUCAAACCGGACAUCUGUGCCUAGAGCCUUAUCUAUUUGGGCACCAUCCUCUGGACAGCCACACUCUGAGCACAAACAAAGAGUAAUGAGAUCUCCUCUACCCUUGGCGGAUCCGCAGGGGGACGCGGUGCCUCCUGCACUGGUUCAGGUUAAUAUGUGUGUGAUCACCACCUGUUUGGGAGUUUGCUCCCAUGGUAACACUGAUUUCUUACUUAAUGCCAAGAGCAAAACAACAGCCCUGUCACUGUUGCAAGGAAAGCUGACAAAAAACUGAGGCUGCUUUAGCUUUCCUCAGCUUUUACUCGGGUGCCCCUGACUUGGGGGAAAAAAAAGCAGAAAUAAUUAUGCCGAAGGUCAACCUGUUCCAGGGCAGUUUGUUCCUGCUUUGAAGGAGAGAGAUGUGAGGGGUGGCAGAGAAACCCGCUGCUACACCUGACAGGCUCUCAUGGAUAAGAGCUGGUGAGGGAGCCCUGCAGAAGCCCUUUGCAAACUUGCACGACCUGCCUUGAAC